Molecule: long non-coding RNA, 771 nt
Organism: Danio aesculapii
Lineage: Eukaryota; Metazoa; Chordata; Actinopteri; Cypriniformes; Danionidae
Exons: 4
Source: RefSeq, a predicted model, not a curated record
GUUUGCGGGUAAGUUAGAAUGUUUUUCAUCAUCAUAAUGUAAUAAAAUCGGUUAUAUGACGAAUAUUUCUGUUGCAUACUUUUGACAGUUAUCAGGUAAAGUUACAUGUUUUAACUAAUUUCCUGGGUGUUUUAAUCGAUGUUGUUUCAAAUUACGUAUUAAUAAAACAUUGAUAAGACACAAACUACAGUUCGGUAUGUAAUUUAACUUGUUUACACGAGUAAAAGUUACUCGCGCUAAUGUGCUAACGUGCUAACUGCCCGGUGCUGCGUGAAUCAGAGGCCGGAGUGAAGUGCGUGAGCCGCGGCCGGACGGUCACCACGCCCCGGGCGGCUAAAUGGAUCGACGGAGGAUAAAAUCAUUAAAAGAUGCGGAGAAACACAUCACCAGCUCCACUGACAAGACCCAUUCACUGGAAACCGAUUAUAUAGAAGGUUACUAAGUUUUGCGGCAUUGAUGCCGCUCGUGGCGGGACCCUCGGCCGGCUGGUGAAUGAUGACUAUCUGCACCCAAACUGCACUGUCAAUAAGAUUGUUGUUCAGAGAAAAACCUCACUUGUGCCUUUUUGCAAUCAGGGACAUUUUCCCUGGAGAGGAAAUAACUUUUGACUAUGGCGCAUGUGAUUGGCCUUGGAGAAAGCUUUCAUUGAAGGAUAACCAUAUGACUGCAGAAGAGAACUGCUCCCACAACUCUCUGAUGAGCUUUUAUUGAAGAAUGACCAAAUGACAGAACUGCUCUGCUCCAGUAGGAGUCCCACAACUCUCUGAUGAG